This 491-nucleotide ribosomal RNA is filed under the name uncultured bacterium. RNAcentral's name for it is "partial 16S ribosomal RNA". It matches the Rfam family "Bacterial small subunit ribosomal RNA", at positions 29 to 507 of the family's 1533-position model. The record is from RNAcentral.
GUGAACGCUGGCGGUAGGCCUAACACGUGCAAGUCGAACGGCAGCACAGUAAGAGCUUGCUCUUCCGGGUGGCGAGUGGCGGACGGGUGAGGAAUACAUCGGAAUCUACUUUUUCGUGGGGGAUAACGUAGGGAAACUUACGCUAAUACCGCAUACGACCUACGGGUGAAAGCAGGGGAUCUUCGGACCUUGCGCGAUUGAAUGAGCCGAUGUCGGAUUAGCUAGUUGGCGGGGUAAAGGCCCACCAAGGCGACGAUCCGUAGCUGGUCUGAGAGGAUGAUCCGCCACAAUGGAACUGGGGAACGGUCCAGACUCCUACGGGAGGCAGCAGUGGGGAAUAUUGGACAAUUGGGGCAAGCCUGAUCCAGCCAUACCGCGUGGGUGAAGAAGGCCUUCGGGUUGUAAAGCCCUUUUGUUGGGAAAGAAAAGCAGCAGGUUAAUACCCCGCUGUUCUGACGGUACCCAAAGAAUAAGCACCGGCUAACUUCGUG